This 2286-nucleotide ribosomal RNA is filed under the name Collops bipunctatus. RNAcentral describes it as "eukaryotic LSU rRNA". It matches the Rfam family "Eukaryotic large subunit ribosomal RNA", at positions 44 to 1869 of the family's 3401-position model. The record is from RNAcentral. Lineage: Eukaryota; Metazoa; Arthropoda; Insecta; Coleoptera; Melyridae.
UACUAAGCGGAGGAAAAGAAACUAACUAGGAUUCCCUAAGUAGCGGCGAGCGAACAGGGAAGAGCCCAGCGCCGAAUCCCGCGUCCGGCCACGGACGCCGGGAAAUGUGGCGUUAGGGAGGACGAUAUGUUUCGAGUUCGUGCGGCGAGUCCAAGUCCUUCUUGAACGAGGCCACCGCCCAUAGAGGGUGCCAGGCCCGUAGCGACCGCUGCCGGAUGCGAAACGAUCUCUCCUUAGAGUCGGGUUGCUUGAGAUUGCAGCCCUAAGUGGGUGGUAAACUCCAUCUAAGGCUAAAUAUGACCACGAGACCGAUAGCGAACAAGUACCGUGAGGGAAAGUUGAAAAGAACUUUGAAGAGAGAGUUCAAUAGUACGUGAAACCGUUCAGGGGUAAACCUGAGAAACCCGAAAGGUCGAACGGGGAGAUUCACCGCGGCUCGCGGUCGAGGCUCGGCGCUCGUGCGACUGACGGCCCCCGGGUCGCCUGCGCCUUGCGCCCCGUUCCGUCGACUGCGAACGCGUGCACUUCUCCCCUAGUAGGACGUCGCGAUCCGUUGGGCGCCGGUCUAAGGACUGCGGAGGAGACCGGACGGAACGUUCUGCGUUCGCCGUCCGGACCUGCGGAUCCCCGGCCGGCUCGCUCGACGGUAGCCGUGAGGCGCUGGGCCGCGACUUCAGCUCGCGUCCGGCCCGCAGCAAGCGCGCCGUGCGAUCCGGCGAUCGGACUCUGUGCCGAUUCCGGGCCUCGGUGGCUGUUCGCCGCGGUGUUCUCGGACAGACCCAGUUGAAACGCCGAUCUGCGACGACGAAGCUUUGGGUACUUUCAGGACCCGUCUUGAAACACGGACCAAGGAGUCUAGCAUGUGCGCGAGUCAUUGGGACACGACUAAACCUAAAGGCGCAAUGAAAGUAAAAGUCCGCCUCGCGCGGACCCAGGGAAGAUGGGCGUUGGUCUCGUGCCGCGCUCCGCAUUCCCGGGGCGUCUCGUUCUCAUCGCGAGAAGAGGCGUACCAAGAGCGUACACGCUGGGACCCGAAAGAUGGUGAACUAUGCCUGGUCAGGACGAAGUCAGGGGAAACCCUGAUGGAGGUCCGUAGCGAUUCUGACGUGCAAAUCGAUCGUCGGAACUGGGUAUAGGGGCGAAAGACUAAUCGAACCAUCUAGUAGCUGGUUCCCUCCGAAGUUUCCCUCAGGAUAGCUGGCGCUCGUCGUGUACGAGUCUCAUCCGGUAAAGCGAAUGAUUAGAGGCAUUGGGGCCGAAACGGCCUCAACCUAUUCUCAAACUUUAAAUGGGUGAGAUCUCCGGCUUGCUUGAACCGAUGAAGCCGCGAGAUACGGAUCAGAGUGCCAAGUGGGCCAUUUUUGGUAAGCAGAACUGGCGCUGUGGGAUGAACCAAACGUCGAGUUAAAGCGCCCAAAUCGACGCUUAUGGGACACCAUGAAAGGCGUUGGUAACUUAAGACAGCAGGACGGUGGCCAUGGAAGUCGGAAUCCGCCAAGGAGUGUGUAACAACUCACCUGCCGAAGUUACUAGCCCUGAAAAUGGAUGGCGCUGAAGCGUCGUGCUUAUACUCGACCGUCAGAGGCAAGUGCGGUCGGAGCGCUUCACGCGCUCCGGUCAUCAAGCCCUGACGAGUAGGAGGGUCGCGGCGGUGAGCGCAGAAGGGUUGGCCGCGAGGCCGCCUGGAGCCGCCGUCGGUGCAGAUCUUGGUGGUAGUAGCAAAUACUCCAGCGAGACCCUGGAGGACUGACGUGGAGAAGGGUUUCGUGUGAACAGCCGUUGCACACGAGUCAGUCGAUCCUAAGCCCUAGGCGAAAGCCGAUGUUGAUGUGGUGUGUCUACUCUGGCUAAGCGACACGGCAGCGCGCCCGCUGGCUCGCUCGCGAUCGAACGCGAACCGAGCGCGUUCCGCGACGACCAGUGAAGCGUGUCUGUCGAAGUGUUCUUGUCUGACGUUUGCGCACACCCGUCGGGCGAAAGGGAAUCCGGUUCCUAUUCCGGAACCCGGCAGCGGAACCGAAACAAUAGUUCGGGCCCUCUUAGGAGAGUUCGUCGGGGCAACCCAAACAGACCCGGAGACGCCGCCGAGAGAUCCAGGAAGAGUUUUCUUUUCUGCAUGAGCGUUCGAGUUCCAUGGAAUCCUCUAGCAGGGAGAUAUGGUUUGGAACGCGAAGAGCACCGCAGUUACAGCGGUGUCUGGAUCUUCUCCGCGGACCUUGAAAAUCCGGGAGAGGGCCACGUGGAGAUGUCGCGCCGGUUCGUACCCAUAUCCGCAGCAGGUCUCCA